CUAAACCACCAUUAUGGAGAGAGGGAGAAAGAAAAAAAUGAAGAAAAUGGAAAGAAAAAAGAAAGAAGAAGAAAGAGAAAGGAAAACCUAAUGCUGCUGUCCUUCUCUACCUUCUUGGCGGCGACGCUAGGUUUAUAGAAAGCGAAAACGGGCAAGAAGAAAAGGGAAAUUGAAGGAAAAGAGAAAAAAAGAAAGAAGAAAGGAAAAGCAAAAACAAUGAAGUGUCAGGUUGAAAUUUGGAGGAUCCGACAUAUAUUCCAUACCUAUUCCUAUGUCGUGUCAUGUCCGACAUGGGUACUCUACCUAUUUCGAAAAGUUCGAGCAUCAUAGCUCCUGGGGUCUUACUACAUAAAAACCUACCUUCUAUCCUCCCUUCUACCUUUUUUUAUAGCUAUUGCCUAACUAAUUUCAAUCAGCCACUUGCUCUCCAACAGAUUCUGUUUUUCCUAAGCUAGCUGGUCAUUCCUUCUUCUGGGUCCUUCUGGAGUAGGUGAAGCUGAUAGAAGUCUAUCAAUAGUUACUUUUAUUCUGUUUAGCAUUUCAGUGUAAUUCCAUUCAGAAUUCAGUAAUAUUUCUCAGUUGCUAUUUUCUUCCAAUAGAAUCCUAUCAAUUGGUAUCAGAGUAUGUUCGAUCCAAUGACCGGGGGGAAAAUAGGAAGCCGAGUGGAAGUGAUGGAAAAGGAGAUGGAGUACUUGAAAUCGGAAUUGCAGCAAUUACUUGGGCUUGAGAGAUCUGUGGAACACUUGUGCCGGAAUAUGGACAGAAUGUUCGAAACAAUGGAGACAGUUCAGAAAUCUGCGGCAUCAAUGACCCUUCCUAAAGCGGCAAUGAAUAGAAUGCUGGAAGGUGAAGGAACUGGAAUCAUCACGGAGGGACCGGCACGUCCAAACGUUCAAAGUAGGCCUGUGGGUGACAAAAAAACCCAGGAUUGUGAAAAGGGUCCUGAAUGUUCUGGCGAAGCAAACUAUGAAGAAGAUACAGCUGAUGUUGAGCAAAGAAGGAAGUAACUGGAGGAACCAGAAAUUGGAAAUGCUCAAGUUCAGCAGAGAUAAUCCAGAUGCCUUGACGUGGUUCCAGCGGACAGAGGCGAUGAUGCCUUUCCAAAACUGGCAGCAAUUCAAGCAGCUACUCCUGCUGCAUCUUCGGUUGACUCAGGAAGGGAGUAUCUGUAAGAAGUUCCUGGCAAUAAAUCAAAGUGGUACUGUAGCUGAAUUCUGGUGUGAGUAUGAGGUGUUGGCUGCACCUUUGAGAAACACUGGAGGAAGUCUUGGAAAACACUUGUGUUAAUGGGUUAAAAACCAGAUAUCAGGGCUGAAAUCAGGUGCCCAAAAGGGUUGGGCCAACUAAUGGAAGUGGCCCAAUGCAUUCAGGAUCACAAUCUGUUGUUAAAAGCUUCAUGGGAAAAUCUGACCCAAAAGGCUUACCAGCAUAUGAAGCUUCAUGAAAUUAUUCAAGUCUAUUUGCCAAUACUUCCCUGAAUCCCACCUUGAGGACAAGGUGGAUUUGGAAACCGGGGGUAUUGAUAGGCUCCAAUCCACUUCACUCAUUCUAGAAGGAACCAGGAGAAGAAUAAUCUGCAAGUGGGUGGAAAACUAAAGUCUGUUAGAGGGAAAAUUAGUGAUGGAAAGUCUGUUAGUAGUCUGCUAUAAAUGUGGGUUGAGAAUAGCCAUAUAAGGGGGAAUAGCGGAGAGUAAAAGAGACUCUAGUUACCAUUGUUCUGUUUAGCAUUUCAAUGUAAUUCCAUUCAGAACUCAAUGAUAUUUCUCAGUUGCUAUUUUCUUCCAGCAGAGUCCUAUCAGUUUGGCUAAGCUUAAAAUGUGCUUAUAAAAAAAGAUGUUAACUCAUUUGUUGUCAUGCACAUUAACUAACAUACCUUUAGAGGCACCGGGGGACUUAAAAUGUGCUUAUAAAAAAGGAAGUUUACUCAUUUGUUGUCAUGCACGUUAACUAACAUACCUUUAGAGGUUGAGGCACCGGGGGACUGAUGUCCGGAAGAAAAGGAUUUGCCAUAUCUGUGAUGUAAAAUAGUUAAAACGUGUAUGUGAAUCUUCUUUAUACUUUGUCUCCCUUUUCUAUGGUGCUUGGGGAGCAAAAUGGUCUUGAAUGGAUUUACAUUUCAUGCAUCAUUUCCAUGAUAGACUGAGAAUGGUGCGAUUGUGGUAUAACAUUGUAUAAGUUUUGUUGUCCAGGCGUAUACGAAGCUACAUCUCUGGACCAUGUUAGGAAAGAUUCUUUGCAAAAUUCAGAUUUACCCAGUGCGGUUUUUGAGGACCAGAUUCAGAUGUCUCUGCUGCCAACUUAAAGUAAGGACUAAUCUGUGUAGAAUUCUUUGCUUCUCACUACAUAAACCUUAUAACGACACAUCCAUUUGCUCAUGAUGGCGACCCUUCUUUUAAACUUGAUGGUGGGAUGGGAAACCUGGUGGAAAGUUAUUAAUUUCUAUUGAUCUAUCCAUAUUAGGAUUAUCUCUAGUUACAACAACCAUUUGAAAUUCCAUACAGAAGAAACUUUUAUGUUUGAAUUUCUCUUUAAAACUUUACAGUAUCAACUGAACACUUGAUCCGGUGGUGAUUUUUAUCUCUAAAAGUGUGUGCUAGUGCACCGAAUUUUCUCCUCUCUCUACCCUAAGAACUCUUUUAGGCCUAACCUGUUGAAAUGACUUUCUGUUUCGAAAUUUCUGCAUGGCAAAAUAGUUGUAACAGGUUUACACUCUUGUACUGCAGGAUUUUCAUCUCCGAACUUUUCCACUGACCUUUUUUUUUUCGUUUUUCUUUUUUCUUCUUUGUGCAGCAGCAAUUUAAUCAGGUGACUGUUUCAUUAGUGUGGAUCUGUUGCUUCCUUUUCCGAGUAAAAGUGGCUGCAAGAAUAUUUAUAAUCCUUUGCAGUGCUCAAAUUUUUUCAUAUCUGCAAAGAAGAAAUGUGCAAGCAGAUUCUUGGCUGUUGUGGCCACUGGAAAAUUCCCAACUGUUUGAGAAUGGCAUUAUGGGUCCACUUUGGAGAUUGGGUUCAUUACUUUGUAUAUCUUUUCAGUUGUCACUCUCAGGUUCAUGGAUUCUUCAAUAAAUACAACUUUUGCCCAUUCUUUCUGAAAAAUAGAUUGCAUAGAUCAUUGCUGUGACCGUAAGCUCUAAAGGAUUAUUUAGGGCACAUAUGGUACACUGAAGCGAACAUUAUUUGAUAGAUAGAAAAACUUUAUAAAUUUUGUCGCACUUCUCUAUCUUUAAUUCAAUGUAGUCAUGAUUCGCUACGAGGUUUCACGACUGUUGGAUUUUCUUGGGGGGUCUAUUAUCCCUUCCACCCCCGAUCAUUGUUUUAUUAUGCUACAUGUGCAUAAUGAUUUACGUACAUGUGGUAUAGUAAGAUAGGAUUGAGCCAA
Molecule: long non-coding RNA, 3376 nt
Filed under: Olea europaea subsp. europaea
Lineage: Eukaryota; Viridiplantae; Streptophyta; Magnoliopsida; Lamiales; Oleaceae
Source: RNAcentral